UCUUACACCAAACAAAACUCGCUUAACCCUAACGACAAAUCCUCAGCCUCUGACCACAUGAAAACUAUAUAACGAGAUUCCGCCAUUCACCUUGCGAAGAAACUCUCCUUCCCUGCAGCAGAAGCCUCAAGAUGUGAUCUUCUGUUGAUAUCCUUAACGACUUCGACUUCACCCUUGUCACUGUAAAAUGAGUCUAUGAUUGAUUCUUUACCCGAGAAUUCGAUGUAUCAAAGAAACAUCCAAGCUCAACGACAGUAAACUAUUACGAUAAAUCUCCUCCGGCUCAGUAGCAUUCGCCAGAAAAUAAGUCUCUUUCGUCGAGGAGUGUUUUGAAAGGGAGGGAAAGAGAGGAUGUGGUCGAGGAUCUGGUUUGGUAAAUUAGACCAGAUGAUUGGAUCCAUAGUGGUUGGAGAAGAUAUGUCGGUAAAAGAAGACUCCAGUGACCAGUUGAGAAAAGUGGAGGCUAAGGUUGAAGUAGUGGUGAUGAUGAUGAGAGAUUAGGAAUUUUGCAAGUGGAAGGAUUUUUUAAAGAUUUUUAUAGGAAGAAGUCAACCACAUGGUGACAAGUACGUCAACGUGUAAAGAGAGAGUUUGAAAGUAUGUGUAAUUUUUUAAAAUUUUAUUUAGCCAAAAGAUGAAAUAUACUUGGUUUAAAGAAUCCUCAUUUAAACGACUUCGUUGUGUGUUAUUGAGUAAACCGGACAUGAAAUCUGAAGGGAAUAUGUUCAAUUUAAUCCGUAAUAACGCACAUCAAUCUUUGGUUGGAUAAGCGGUGGAGUUGUAAAAGAAGACAAGACUGGAUUUUUGUUUCGCGACGUCGCCGAGAGAGAGAGAGAGAGAGAUGGGGAUGGUAAGAAAAGCUGGAGACUGGUCGUUCAAGGCCUUCACGGCGGGGCUAGGAUUCACCACCAUCUACCUUACAGCCACUUUCUCCGUUAAUGUCUACCGUGGCCUUUCUUGGAACAAUGCUCAAUCUAUAUCUGAAUUACAUGCUUCGAACCUCGGGAAUGUAUCAAAUAUCCUGGAGUUACUGUGAUGAGGUCUUAA
Brassica napus (rape) is the source of this 1047-nucleotide long non-coding RNA. RefSeq lists it as uncharacterized. The transcript is spliced from 2 exons. Lineage: Eukaryota; Viridiplantae; Streptophyta; Magnoliopsida; Brassicales; Brassicaceae. The record is from RefSeq and is a predicted model, not a curated record.